AUAUCUUCCUUGUUGCAAGCUUGUUGAGCCGAAUAAUGUCUCAGAGGCAUGAAGAAAUCUUGUUGAGCUGAUGCUCCUUUGUUGCCAUGGGCUUGGGAAUGCCAAUUCUAAUGCCAACAUGUCUUCAAGUGCCAAUGCCAAAGAGAGUAAUGAUGAUUUGCAGGAGCUAGGGGUUUGAUAGUUCGUUUGUUGUAUCCGAGAAGAUGGGGCACUGGAGCAACAAGAUGUGGAUCAUGGAUAUUCCUCUAUGAUAACCUGUUUAACAGGUGCUUGGCCCAACCUAGAUGGUUUACAGUAUUAUACUACGGAGGAAACUGUUAAGUAUGAAGGACCUUGACUCACGAGGUUUAUCUGGAGAUGGUCUUAACUGAAACCGAUUUACAGAGCCUAAUGAAUGAGUUCGUCAUUGUUAUUACCAGUUCUGAGCUGAUGGAUCUCAACAGGAAGUGAAUAAUUAUAUAUCUGGUUCUUUAAGGAGAUCAUCAGGGGGGCUAGGGACAAAAUGCAGCAAUUCCUGGAGAAGUGAAACCUGUAGUUUUGCACAAUUAGCCUGUUUUCAGUUGUCAGUCACUCGCUCUACCAGUUCGUUGUCUACAAUUUAGCUUCUGAAUUCGAACUGUGGCCAAGCUACUGCAACUGAAGUUUAAUGUCUGUGUGUGACCCUGUUACGUGCUAAGAUCACCAGUCUAUAACAAUGGAUCUCUUGGUGGCUCAAGGUUAGUAUUCAACAUGAAGGGAGUCAAUUCUGUACAAGAAGCAAAUACUGAGAAUUCUGCUCAACUGAAACUAUAUAUAGUAUGUUCAUGUUUAUCCUACACAUUUCUGCUACUUUUAUCUCAGAGUCAAGACUACUGCGAAGUUAGAAGGGAGUGUGGA
Molecule: long non-coding RNA, 876 nt
Organism: Lolium rigidum
Lineage: Eukaryota; Viridiplantae; Streptophyta; Magnoliopsida; Poales; Poaceae
Exons: 3
Source: RefSeq, a predicted model, not a curated record